CAGUCGCCACGGUAAUACAGAGGGUGCAAGCGUUAAUCGGAUUUACUGGGCGUAAAGGGCGCGUAGGUGGUUACUUAAGUGAGAUGUGAAAGCCCCGGGCUUAACCUGGGAACUGCAUCUUAUACUGGGUAACUGGAGUGCAGUAGAGGGUAGUGGAAUUUCCGGUGUAGCGGUGAAAUGCGUAGAUAUCGGAAGGAACACCAGUGGCGAAGGCGGCUACCUGGACUGAGACUGACACUGAGGCGCGAGAGCGUGGGGAGCAAACAGGAUUAGAUACCCCAGUAGUCCCUGUCUCUUAUAC
Molecule: ribosomal RNA, 301 nt
Filed under: uncultured bacterium
Lineage: Bacteria
Description: partial 16S ribosomal RNA
Rfam family: Bacterial small subunit ribosomal RNA
Source: RNAcentral